GAUAAGAACAUCACUUCCCAGCCAAGAUUUUGAGUUGUUUUGAUAGUUCUCUGAUCAUUCCCAGAACUGUGAAGGAAUUCUCAGCUUUAAAUCCUCUGAAAAAAAUACAGGUACUCGUAAUCCAAUAUUUGAUUAUUUUAAUGGGGCAUCGAAGGUUUAGGCAGAGUCAUGAAAUCCAAACAAGCAAUUGAAUGUUGCAACCCACUUAAUAAAAUUAGUUCCAGGACACACAAAUCACUCAGUUGGAAGAGAAUCUUCAAGAAGAGGUUAUAAUUAAAGUAAGAGGGUUUCUCAUCAAGACAGAGCCUUAGGACUUUGGCUCUGAGGUAUAUAAGCUUUGCACAUUCUUUGAACCUGUCCUCACUACUUGAAAAGAGAGGGAGAGGGGGAGAUGGAGCUAGAGCCAGAGCCAGAGCAAGAAAGGAAAGGAGGGAGAGAAUUUUAAGGAAACUAUGACGCAUAAGGGAUAAAAAGAAAAAACAUCUGCUGGAUAAUUAGCAAAUUCCUUCACAAAGAGAACAUUUAAAAGUUUAAAGUUUUCGACACCAACUAGACCACACUGUUUCCAAAGUAAUGCUUACUAUUAUUUUCUAUUCUAAAUUCAGUCAGUUCAGGAAAUUCUUUAAAGAGGAAAGUAGGGGAAGAAGUGGAAAGGGGUGCCCUCUUCAGUAACUACCAAUUGAAAUCUCAAUCUGUUGUGAAGUUUUGGUAUCUUGUGUCCCCCACGAGGGGGAAAGAGCCUUAAAUAUCAUUUCCAAGCUGGCUCAAUAUUCGUUUGUCCUCAAUUUGAACCAAAUUAAUUUGAUAUCCAAAUGUGCUACUUUUUAACCAAGUGUUGUGCUAUGCUCAGUCACUCAGUUGUGUCUGACUCCGAAGGCCUUAGGACUGCAGCCUGCCAGGCUCCUCUGUCCAUGGGAUUUCUCAGGCAAGAAUACUGGAGUGGGUUGCCAUUUCUUCCUCCAAGGGAUCUUCCCAACCCAGGGAUCAAACUCAAACCUCCUGUGUCUCCUGCACUGCAGGUGAAUUCUUUACCUGCUGAGUCAUUUGGGAAGCCCAACAAAGCAAGUAAACUAUAUAUUUCAACUUCUUCAGUUGCUGAAGUGGAAAGGGGUGAAUUGUAUUUUUAGCUGAGCAAACAUAAAAGGGAGCUGGAAAUGGUUUGGGUCCCAUAUCCAGUAAGGAAAAUGGAGAACCGGUGGCCAAUCAGUCUACAAAAUUGGCUGAAUUUCAAGAAGAAAAAUGGUGAUGAGAAAGAUUCUGUGGAUCAAGAAAUCAGAUGCGGCACAAGAAUUCAGACAGAGAGGACUAGGUUUCCGCUCCACAGUGUCUGAGAUCUGGGUGGGGAAGACUUAAGCAGCUGGAGGGGGCAUGUCCAGAGAGCCGGGGACUGGAAGCACCUGAUGCUGCUUCCUAUACAUCUGACACCUGGCCUGGGAUGACUGGAAGACUGACUCAGGUGGAACUAUGGAUUGGGACACCUACUCGUGUAAUGUCUCCUUGGAGCUUGAGAGUCCUUACAGCACAGCAGACUUGAUCUUCUUAUUUGGCAGCUUUGGAUACCAGUGAGUAAGGCAGAAGAUAGACACCAAUGGGUUGGCUGACCUUGAGUCAGAUGUUUAUAUUUGUGGCCAGUGAAAAUAGGACUAUGUUUUCAAACUUGGACAUCCGGGCUCACAAGUCUGGGUAUUUCCCAGUGAAAGGAACUAUUUUACAGUAAAAUUCAACCUAGUGGAAAUUUCUGCAGUUGCAAGUUGCAAAGAAGAAAGUUUAUGUUUUCCUUAUAAACACUUACUAAGAAUAAACUUUAUAUAUGAUGAUAAGUAAAAAUUAAAUAAACAGGAAUCAAAUACAUAGGAAUGAAAGCAAUGAGGUUGAAAAGAAGAAGGACGAUUGAAAUGAAAAGGAAAGGAAAGAAAAGGCAUUCUUCAACACCUUUUUUGAGAACUACUAAGACCAAGGAUAGGAAAACUCCCAGGAAAUGCAAACCUUUCAUCCCCCACACUGUGCUGGGUGCUAUGGAAACAAGGUGAAAUGGUGGCCAAGGUGGCAAGCUUAGCAGAUCACUUUCUGGGCAUUCUCACUUAUUAGGUGUUGUUGGAUCACUUAACUGCCUUCAACUUAAAUGCCAUCAAUCUUUACCUUAUUAAUUUUCUGAAGACAUAAAUAAUAAUGUUUGUCUUACACAUAAUAAGAGAAAUUAAAAUUAAAGCUACAAUGAGGUAUAAUUUUCAUCUAUCAGAUUGACAAAGAUCCAAAAGUUUAAUAACAUGUUGUGUUGGUGAUGAUGCAAGCAGAUAGCACUCCCGUACGCUGACACAACUUCUAUGGAAAAUGGCUGACCCAUUGAAACAGCACAGAAACCAGCUGAAACUGGUUUUGCCUCCUUAAAUAGGUUGAUUGAUUAAUCAACACGAGUUAUUUUAGAGAAUAGCACUUCACCUGUGCAAGUUAAAAAGCCAUGUCUCCAGGAUGACCUUGGAACUAAGAACCCCCAGCCCACCUAACUCAAAUAGAAAUGUUGCCACCAGAGCCCUUUGUGAAGCAAGAAAUUGGUCAAUAUGGAAAAUCUGACUUCCAACAUCAGUCCAUACAUCAGUUCAUAGCUUACAUGAACUGAUUCAAGACUAGCCAAUCAGCCUCCAAAUUUGAAACUCCCCAACCUUUUAAAUUUCACCCUGAACUGUGGAUCAUGGAGACAGAUUGGAGUCUGGCCUCCUGUCUCUUUGCUGGUCAACCUCACAAUAAAGCUCUUCAUUUUCUCAAAAGCUGGUGUCAUGGUACUGGCUUCUGUGUCCACAGGGGCAGUGAACCUGCUUUGUAACACUAUCAUAAAUAGAACUGUGGAUCUAUCACAGUUUAAAAUGUACCUCCUCUUUGAUGCAGUAAUGUCACUUCCUAAAAUGUAUCCUCUGGCUGUAUUAAAGUACUUAUAAAAAGACAUAUGUGCAAGGUUACUCACUGCUGCAUUGAAACCACAAAAAAUGAACUUUGUUCAUCAGUAAAGGACUGGCUAAAUAAUGUAUGGAACAUCAAAAAAAUGGGAUACUAUGCACUCAUCAAAAGGAUAAGCAAGUAAUAGAUCAGUGCUUGGAACAGCAUCCAAAAUAUAUUAUGAAGUGAAAAAAAGGCAAAGAUUAUUAUUUUAAAAGAUUUAUUUUGUAUACAUAUGUAAUAUCUCUGGGGACACAUAUAAAGCUUUGAUAACAGUUGUUGAGGGAGGUGAGUAUGUGGGUGCAAAGGUGAGUGGGAGUCUUUCUGGACAUGUGAAUGUUUUUAUACCUUGUAUGUUUCGCACUAUAUACAUAUAUUUCCUAUUCAAAAAUGCAUUUGAAUAAUAAUAAAAAUAAAGUGACAAAGAAAACAUGGUGAAAGGAGCUUUGGUAAUUAAACAUGUAUCUCUGCAUGAAAUGAAGCUCUAUGGCAUAAAGCUGCCUAUCACAAGCACCCCUAAUCAAAAGACUGUUGGAACAGAGUGCUGAUCCAGAAGAAAAAAGAAAUACUGGACUUCCCUGGUGGUCUAGUGGUUAAGAAUCCUGCCGAUGCGGGGGAAACACGUUCGAGCCUUGGUCUGAGA
Molecule: long non-coding RNA, 3574 nt
Organism: Bos taurus (domestic cattle)
Lineage: Eukaryota; Metazoa; Chordata; Mammalia; Artiodactyla; Bovidae
Source: Ensembl